This 1069-nucleotide ribosomal RNA is filed under the name Segatella copri. Its description in RNAcentral is "partial 23S ribosomal RNA". It matches the Rfam family "Bacterial large subunit ribosomal RNA", at positions 395 to 1459 of the family's 2925-position model. The record is from RNAcentral. Lineage: Bacteria; Pseudomonadati; Bacteroidota; Bacteroidia; Bacteroidales; Prevotellaceae.
GCAUAGCGGUAUCCUGAGUAACGCGGGACACGAGGAAUCCUGCGCGAAUCUGCCGGGACCAUCCGGUAAGGCUAAAUACUCCCGUGAGACCGAUAGCGAACGAGUACUGUGAAGGAAAGGUGAAAAGAACCCCGAGCAGGGGAGUGAAAUAGUUCCUGAAACCAUACGCCUACAAGCGGUCGGAGCAUCGUAAGAUGUGACGGCGUGCCUUUUGCAUAAUGAUCCUACGAGUUACCGUCACUGGCGAGGUUGAGUGUCAUGAGACACGUAGCCGCAGUGAAAGCGAGCCUGAAGAGGGCGCACAGUCAGUGGGGGUAGACGCGAAACCAAGUGAUCUACACUUGGCCAGGAUGAAGUCCCGGUAACACGGGAUGGAGGUCCGCACCAAUAAGCGUUGAAAAGCUUCUGGAUGAGCCGAGUGUAGGAGUGAAAGGCCAAUCAAACUUGGAGAUAGCUCGUACUCCCCGAAAGGCAUUUAGGUGCCGCGUCGGAUGGUCACCGUGAGAGGUAGAGCGACCGAUAGGACAAGAGGGCUUCACCGCCUAUCGAGUCCUGACGAACUCCGAAUGCUCACGGUCUGCAGUCCGGCAGUAAGGGGGCGGGUGCUAAGGUCCGUCCCCGAGAGGAGAAGAAUCCAGACCGCCGUCUAAGGUCCCGGAGUUCUGCCUGAGUUAGUCUAACGAAGUCUGGUCCCUAUGACAGCUAGGAUGUUGGCUUGGAAGCAGCCAUUCAUUCAAAGAGUGCGUAACAGCUCACUAGUCGAGGGUCCGGGCAUGGAUAAUAAUCGGGUAUAAGGCAGACACCGAAGGCGCGGGAUAGCAAUUAUAAAAGUAUCGGUAGGGGAGCAUACUCACAGCGUCGAAUGGUGUACGUAAGUUAUCCUGGAGCGGUGAGUAAAGCAAAUGUAGGAAUAAGUAACGAUAAGGAGGGUUAGAUUCCCUCCCGCUGUAAGACCAAGGUUUCCCGGGCAAUGCCAAUCAGCCCGGGGUCAGUCGGGUCCUAAGUCUAAGCCGAACGGCGAUGGCGAUGGCAGAGACGGUUAAUAUUCCGUCACUGCCGCAUGGGGCGA